Long non-coding RNA from Amphiprion ocellaris (clown anemonefish), 440 nucleotides. Lineage: Eukaryota; Metazoa; Chordata; Actinopteri; Pomacentridae. The record is from Ensembl.
CUGUGGUGCUGGUGCUCAGAAUAGGCUGAGGCAGUGCAACAAUCCUCUACCUGCCAAUGGAGGCCGACACUGUGCAGGAUCAGACUUAGAGACACGCCGUUGUCAAGGGAAACCCUGUCCAGUGGAUGGUAACUGGUCAGAGUGGUCUCUCUGGGAGGAGUGUUCACGUACCUGUGGUCAGGGCAACAGAACCAGAGUCCGAACCUGCAGUAAUCCUCCAGCCCAGCAUGGAGGCAGGCCAUGUGAGGGAAAGGCAGUGGAGGUCAUCAUGUGCAGUGUCAGACCAUGUCCAGUGGCAGGUAACUGGGGGUCUUGGCUACCAUGGAGCCCAUGCAGUGAGACCUGUGGUAAGGGUAUGCAGUCCAGGAUCCGGCUAUGCAACAACCCCCCUCCAGCAUUUGAUGGGCCGCAGUGUGAGGGCACAGACACACAAACACAAG